This 395-nucleotide ribosomal RNA is filed under the name uncultured bacterium. RNAcentral describes it as "bacterial SSU rRNA". It matches the Rfam family "Bacterial small subunit ribosomal RNA", at positions 30 to 429 of the family's 1533-position model. The record is from RNAcentral.
AUUGAACGCUGGCGGCAUGCCUUACACAUGCAAGUCGAACGGCAGCGGACCUUCGGGUGCCGGCGAGUGGCGAACGGGUGAGUAAUAUAUCGGAACGUACCUUUCAGUGGGGGAUAACGUAGCGAAAGUUACGCUAAUACCGCAUAUUCUGUGAGCAGGAAAGCAGGGGAUCGCAAGACCUUGCGCUGAUUGAGCGGCCGAUAUCAGAUUAGCUAGUUGGUGAGGUAAAGGGCUCACCAAGGCGACGACUCUGUAGCGGGUCUGAGAGGAUGAUCCGCCACACUGGAACUGAGACACGGUCCAGACUCCUACGGAGGCAGCAGUGGGGAAUUUUGGACAAUGGGCGCAAGCCUGAUCCAGCCAUGCCGCGUGAGUGAAGAAGGCCUCGGUGUAAG